Non-coding RNA from Camellia sinensis, 251 nucleotides. The record is from RefSeq and is a predicted model, not a curated record. NCBI's taxonomy places the organism in Eukaryota, Viridiplantae, Streptophyta, Magnoliopsida, Ericales, Theaceae.
CAAAAUCAGUUAUGGGUUCUAUACUCUUGUCCCUCCUCCUUGUAAUAUCUCAAUCAAGAACAACAACAACAAAUGGUAGUGAAGAAGCUUCAACACAUAGUAGUUAUGGCAGUGACUCUCUCAAUCGCACCAGUUUUCCACCCGGUUUUACCUUUGGCACAGCCUCUGCUGCUUAUCAGUACGAAGGUGCAGCAAAUGAAGGUGGUAGAGGUCCUAGCAUAUGGGAUACCUUCACGCAUAGAUAUCCAGGU